This 726-nucleotide ribosomal RNA is filed under the name uncultured bacterium. Its description in RNAcentral is "bacterial SSU rRNA". It matches the Rfam family "Bacterial small subunit ribosomal RNA", at positions 789 to 1515 of the family's 1533-position model. The record is from RNAcentral.
GGUAGUCCACGCCGUAAACGAUGUCGACUUGGAGGUUGUGCCCUUGAGGCGUGGCUUCCGGAGCUAACGCGUUAAGUCGACCGCCUGGGGAGUACGGCCGCAAGGUUAAAACUCAAAUGAAUUGACGGGGGCCCGCACAAGCGGUGGAGCAUGUGGUUUAAUUCGAUGCAACGCGAAGAACCUUACCUACUCUUGACAUCCAGAGAACUUAGCAGAGAUGCUUUGGUGCCUUCGGGAACUCUGAGACAGGUGCUGCAUGGCUGUCGUCAGCUCGUGUUGUGAAAUGUUGGGUUAAGUCCCGCAACGAGCGCAACCCUUAUCCUUUGUUGCCAGCGGUUAGGCCGGGAACUCAAAGGAGACUGCCAGUGAUAAACUGGAGGAAGGUGGGGAUGACGUCAAGUCAUCAUGGCCCUUACGAGUAGGGCUACACACGUGCUACAAUGGCUCAUACAAAGAGAAGCGACCUCGCGAGAGCAAGCGGACCUCAUAAAGUGCGUCGUAGUCCGGAUUGGAGUCUGCAACUCGACUCCAUGAAGUCGGAAUCGCUAGUAAUCGUAGAUCAGAAUGCUACGGUGAAUACGUUCCCGGGCCUUGUACACACCGCCCGUCACACCAUGGGAGUGGGUUGCAAAAGAAGUAGGUAGCUUAACCUUCGGGAGGGCGCUUACCACUUUGUGAUUCAUGACUGGGGUGAAGUCGUAACAAGGUAACCGUAGGGGGACCUGC